GAGGGAAGGGCAGGGAACGGUCCGUCGGUCAAGCGCUGCCGGGGUCCUCUCCGCCCAGCGUUUCAUAAACCUUCCCCCCCCACACACACACACCGACUUACCAGCUGGAGGGAGGAGGGGGCCGACCAGGGGUCCCGGCAGGCCUGGGCGCGGAAGGCUGGCAGUCCCUUCGCACCCGCCGCCACCACUUCCGGAUCGAAGGUUUCGAUUGAAGCAGCCUCUAUUUGCAUAUUCCCUGAUCAGCUCCAGAAUCUCCCCGACAGCAGGCGGGGGUGGGGGGGGCGAGCAUUUCUCCCGGCCAGGCUGGGCUGGGCUGGCAGGAGGGCCAAGGAGCCGGCCAGGAAAGGAGUUUGCCCGGUUCCUCUGGCAGCCUGGCGGGCAGCGGAGUUGGCUUGGGCGGGGCGAGUGCCGGAACGGGAGCCGGGUGCCUUCCCGAGAAAAAAGCCAGCUCUCUCCGAGCCGCAGGAGCAGUCACCCGGCCGCGCCGCGCCGCGCCCAGCCGCUCCCGCAGCCCCGAGCUUGAGGGGGCUCCUUGGGGUGCCCCUUCGGACUGGAAUCCCCUGCUCCCGACAGGACUGGGACCUCUUCUCACGUGCAGCGUGUGCUGACCAGGCCUUCCGAGGGCGACGGGACUGCCAGCUGCCAGAUGUGCGCCGGUGCCGCAGGCGAAAGGGCCCGGUUUCACAGUAUUGAUUCGCUCUCUUCUUCAUCUCUGCCAAGGAAGACACGGAAUAAUUUUCGCAUUACAGUCACUUGGAUUUGCUUUUAAUUCAUAUUUAAAGCUGCAACCGACUCUGCGGAGCUUUCUGCGAAAAGACUGGAGGCGCCUAAUUAAUAAUAAGUUAGAAACGAAGGAAGGCACCAGCUGAUUAAUAAUUAAUAUAGACAUCUAUGUCUCUUUGAAUAUUGCUCCUUUAAGAACGUCGGCUUACCAACUCCUACUGUAAGUCUGCAAUUUAUAGGGAGGUGAUUUAAGAUACCGAUUUUCCCCUGAAAUACGACGCUAAAUUAUUCACCGUGUUUUGCAAUCUUCCAUAAGUUCCUUCAUUAUCAAAUGCUGCUCUUGGCUCAUUGCGGGGCACAGCAGCGGUAACAUGGGGGGGUGAGGGGAUGGGGGUUGUGGGAGGAAUGGGUAGAGCCAGCAUAGCUUGCGGCGGAGCAUCCACCGAGAAGGGGGGCGGGGCUGAGAUGAAGCCCGGGCAGCCGACCUGGAGUGCACCAAAUAUUUAGUAGAACCUGUUUCUGGCCAUCUCCCAGCCCACAGUCGGAAGGAAAGGGGCCGCUGUGAGCUCACCUGGAAUCCUGGACUACUUAUCAGGAGGCUGAUCCGUCACUCUCACCUCGACAUUCAUCCCCAAUAAAGAACAGAGCGAAGAUCUGCA
RNAcentral lists this long non-coding RNA (1382 nucleotides) under Pogona vitticeps (central bearded dragon). RNAcentral describes it as "lncRNA (ENSPVIG00000019373.1)". Lineage: Eukaryota; Metazoa; Chordata; Lepidosauria; Squamata; Agamidae. The record is from RNAcentral.